This 531-nucleotide ribosomal RNA is filed under the name uncultured bacterium. RNAcentral's name for it is "partial 16S ribosomal RNA". It matches the Rfam family "Bacterial small subunit ribosomal RNA", at positions 355 to 870 of the family's 1533-position model. The record is from RNAcentral.
UGGGGAAUUUUGGACAAUGGGCGAAAGCCUGAUCCAGCAAUGCCGCGUGUGUGAAGAAGGCCUUCGGGUUGUAAAGCACUUUUGUCCGGAAAGAAAUCCUUGGCUCUAAUACAGUCGGGGGAUGACGGUACCGGAAGAAUAAGCACCGACUAACUACGUGCCAGCAGCCGCGGUAAUACGUAGGGUGCAAGCGUUAAUCGGAAUUACUGGGCGUAAAGCGUGCGCAGGCGGUUUGCUAAGACCGAUGUGAAAUCCCCGGGCGUCAACCUGGGAACUGCAUUGGUGACUGGCAGGCUAGAGUAUGGCAGAGGGGGGUAGAAUUCCACGUGUAGCAGUGAAAUGCGUAGAGAUGUGGAGGAAUACCGAUGGCGAAGGCAGCCCCCUGGCAAGUACUGACGCUCAUGCACGAAAAGCGUGGGGGAGCAAAACNGGAUUAAUNCCCUGGUAGUCCACGCCCCUAAAANGAUGUCAACUAGUUUGUUGGGGGAUUUCAUUUUCCUUAGUAAACGUAGCUAACGCGUGAAGUUGACC